CCUACGGGCGGCAGCAGUGGGGAAUAUUGGACAAUGGGGGGAACCCUGAUCCAGCCAUGCCGCGUGUGUGAAGAAGGCCCUCGGGUUGUAAAGCACUUUCAGUGAGGAAGAACGCCUGGUGGUUAAUACCCAUCAGGAAAGACAUCACUCACAGAAGAAGCACCGGCUAACUCCGUGCCGGCAGCCGCGGUAAUACGGAGGGUGCGAGCGUUAAUCGGAAUUACUGGGCGUAAAGCGCGCGUAGGUGGCUUGAUAAGCCGGUUGUGAAAGCCCCGGGCUCAACCUGGGAACGGCAUCCGGAACUGUCAAGCUAGAGUGCAGGAGAGGAAGGUAGGAUUCCCGGUGUAGCGGUGAAAUGCGUAGAGAUCGGGAGGAAUACCAGUGGCGAAGGCGGCCUUCUGGACUGACACUGACACUGAGGUGCGAAAGCGUGGGUAGCAAACAGGAUUAGAUACCCUAGUAGUC
RNAcentral lists this ribosomal RNA (465 nucleotides) under Vreelandella stevensii. RNAcentral describes it as "partial 16S ribosomal RNA". It matches the Rfam family "Bacterial small subunit ribosomal RNA", at positions 338 to 795 of the family's 1533-position model. Lineage: Bacteria; Pseudomonadati; Pseudomonadota; Gammaproteobacteria; Oceanospirillales; Halomonadaceae. The record is from RNAcentral.